AAAUUUUCAAAUAACAGUAUACAACUUUAUUAAAUUUUGCUUAACAUAAAAACUUAAAAAAGCAUGUACAACUAUCAUAUAUCUGAAUGAAAUUUCAAAAUGAUAUAAUUUAAAUACAAUCAGUAAUUGGUCGGAUGGACUCGACGAUUGCUGGAUGGACUACUGAUUAUAAUUAAAUGAUGGAAGCGUGCUGUGCUUCCAACUUGGAGAAUCUGGCUUCAAUUCCCGGAUCUCAUAUCAGUUUUUUUCAGGAGACGCCCGGGUCCAGUUCGUUGAAUUCCAUCUUCCUGAUGGCUGAUCCCAUCAGGGAUAUGGACGGCCAUGAUAGGCACGGAAAUACCCCGCCGCUUAGUACUCACCAAAAUGGAAAGCGGCGUAAAACUACACCGCUUUCCGAAUAUAUAUUUGUAUAUAUAUAUAUAAUCAGUUAGUAAAGAGUGGUGAAUCAACGUGACUUUCCAUUAUCAUUCCAUUUUACAACUUUUAGAUAUAUAUGUGUAUUUGAAUCAGGAUAAAAGACAAAGAACAUGAACGAUAAAUAUAAUUGGAACUUCGAUUAUAAAGCAUGAUAUAAGG
This 576-nucleotide long non-coding RNA is filed under the name Androctonus crassicauda. Lineage: Eukaryota; Metazoa; Arthropoda; Arachnida; Scorpiones; Buthidae. The record is from RNAcentral.